Molecule: ribosomal RNA, 297 nt
Filed under: Pelobates cultripes (western spadefoot toad)
Lineage: Eukaryota; Metazoa; Chordata; Amphibia; Anura; Pelobatidae
Description: SSU_rRNA_microsporidia
Rfam family: Eukaryotic small subunit ribosomal RNA
Source: RNAcentral
AAUAUUGGGACAUAUAAAAAAAACACAACUCUGUUCCGCACAGUAGCUGUUGACAUUAUAGUUACGCAGGCAAUUUGUUGACUCUAGAGAACCUCCAGCCAAUUGCACAUCCCCGUGGCAGUGACUUUGCAUUCGGAUGUCAUCCAUAUCAACUUUCGAUGCCAGUUUCUGCGCCUGCCAUGGUGACCACAGGGAAUCAGGGUUCCAUUCCAAACAGGGACCCUGAUAAACUGCUACCACAUGCAAGGAAGGCAGCAGGCGGGCAAAUGACCCACUCCCGACGCGGGAAGGUUGUGA